This 371-nucleotide ribosomal RNA is filed under the name uncultured bacterium. RNAcentral describes it as "bacterial SSU rRNA". It matches the Rfam family "Bacterial small subunit ribosomal RNA", at positions 28 to 405 of the family's 1533-position model. The record is from RNAcentral.
GAUGAACGCUAGCGGGAGGCUUAAUACAUGCAAGUCGAGCGGUAAGGUUUUCGGACCCUAGAGCGGCGAACGGGUGAGUAACGCGUACGAAACCUGCCUUUAAGAGAGGGAUAGCCCUGGGAAACUGGGAGUAAUACCUCAUAGUAUUCAUUAACCGCAUGGUUUAUGGAUUAAAGCUACGGCGCUUAAAGAUGGUCGUGCGUCUGAUUAGCUAGUUGGUAGGUAACGGCCUACCAAGGCUACGAUCAGUAGGGGGCGUGAGAGCGUGGCCCCCCACACGGGUACUGAGACACGGACCCGACUCCUACGGGAGGCAGCAGUAAGGAAUAUUGGGCAAUGGACGGAAGUCUGACCCAGCCAUCCCGCGUGCA